Molecule: long non-coding RNA, 230 nt
Organism: Sorghum bicolor (sorghum)
Lineage: Eukaryota; Viridiplantae; Streptophyta; Magnoliopsida; Poales; Poaceae
Exons: 3
Source: RefSeq, a predicted model, not a curated record
AGGUUCCGGCACAAGAGAGCUUGCUGCCCCCUAGGACUGUUGCAGCCCGAUCAACUAUUAACAUGACCACCUCAACAAAUGAUACACAUGUUGCAGCACAAGAGAGCUUGCUGCCCCCUAGGACUGUUGCAGCCCGAUCAGCUAUUAACAUGACCACUACAACAAAUGAUACACAUGCUGGAACUGGUGAGAGCUUGCAGCCCCUUAGACAUGAUGUUGCCCAUUCAUCU